This 544-nucleotide long non-coding RNA is filed under the name Gadus morhua (Atlantic cod). RNAcentral describes it as "lncRNA (ENSGMOG00000027350.1)". Lineage: Eukaryota; Metazoa; Chordata; Actinopteri; Gadiformes; Gadidae. The record is from RNAcentral.
AUAAAUAAGUGGUGACAUGCAACACAUUUAAAAGAGUGUAAUUUCUAAUUGUUUUGGCCCACCUGACUGUUUAGAUGAUUGGGAUCAGGCCGUCAGGAGGAACAAGAGGGCGGAGACAAAGUCCUGUGUGGAGACAGGAAAUGAGGACAUAGGGAGGCGCAUCAUAGUCAAACCCCAAAAAUGUGAAAAGAGAACAAAGAAACGAAAUGGGAAAAAGGCAGGACAAGGUCCACAUUUCAGGACUUCCCUUCCUCCUCCACCCCAGAUAGAAUCCCCCAUUCCACGGCGUAGCGCACUACAAAUAUCUUCACCCCCUGUGACUGAUGACGAUUACUCCCCUCCUUCACCGGCAAGAGACGUUUUUACAGAAAAUGAUGGGUCGGAUGGAACGGCAGGCGGAAGAACAUCCCCAAAAUUAAAUUCAAAAUGAUUUGAAAUAAAAAUAUAAUAAAUUGAUAUUUGUUAGUGUACUGUCUUGUCUUUUGAAUAGGCUUGGGGUCAACAUUAGCAACAGCCACCAGCCAAAAUGUAGGUAAAAUAUUCA